CUACGUGCCAGCAGCCGCGGUAAUACGUAGGGCGCGAGCGUUGUCCGGAAUUAUUGGGCGUAAAGAGCUUGUAGGCGGUUUGUCGCGUCUGCUGUGAAAGGCCGGGGCUUAACUCCGUGUAUUGCAGUGGGUACGGGCAGACUAGAGUGCAGUAGGGGAGACUGGAAUUCCUGGUGUAGCGGUGGAAUGCGCAGAUAUCAGGAGGAACACCGAUGGCGAAGGCAGGUCUCUGGGCUGUAACUGACGCUGAGAAGCGAAAGCAUGGGGAGCGAACAGGAUUAGAUACCCUGGUAGUCCAUGCCGUAAACGUUGGGCACUAGGUGUGGGGGACAUUCCACGUUUUCCGCGCCGUAGCUAACGCAUUAAGUGCCCCGCCUGGGGAGUACGGCCGCAAGGCUAAAACUCAAAGAAAUUGACGGGGGCCCGCACAAGCGGCGGAGCAUGCGGAUUAAUUCGAUGCAACGCGAAGAACCUUACCUGGUCUUGACAU
This 490-nucleotide ribosomal RNA is filed under the name uncultured bacterium. Its description in RNAcentral is "bacterial SSU rRNA". It matches the Rfam family "Bacterial small subunit ribosomal RNA", at positions 501 to 987 of the family's 1533-position model. The record is from RNAcentral.